GUUUUAAAACAAUAAUAUAAAGUAUGUUCUCUAUUGGAAUUUUAAAAACAAAAGUUUAAAACAAAACGAAUAAUUUAAAAAAAAAAAGCUUUCAGUUCCUUAAUGUAAAAAAACUACCACAUGUAUUCACAUGUUUUAAAAUUGACAAUGGAAAUGCAAUGGGGAGUGUGUCAACGAGACAACAACCCGACCAAAGAGCAGAUAACAGCCG
Molecule: long non-coding RNA, 211 nt
Filed under: Mytilus galloprovincialis (Mediterranean mussel)
Lineage: Eukaryota; Metazoa; Mollusca; Bivalvia; Mytilida; Mytilidae
Source: RNAcentral